RNAcentral lists this long non-coding RNA (489 nucleotides) under Mytilus galloprovincialis (Mediterranean mussel). Lineage: Eukaryota; Metazoa; Mollusca; Bivalvia; Mytilida; Mytilidae. The record is from RNAcentral.
CUUUAAAAAAAACAUGAUUUUUUGGCAAUAAAGAAUAACUAUAAACCCAGUAAAAACAGACAGACAAACAAACCCGAUUGUUACAUCAUCAGACAAACAAACAAACCCGAUUGUUACAUCAUCAGACAGACAAAUAAACCCGAUUGUUACAUCAUCAGACAAACAAACCCGAUUAUUACAUCAUCAGACAUGCAAACAAACCCGAUUGUUACAUCAUUAGACAGACAAACAAACCCAAUUGUUACAUCAUCAGACAGACAAACAAACCUGAUUGUUACAUCAUCAGACAAGCAAACAAACCCGAUUGUUACAUCAUCAGACAGACAAACAAACCUGAUUGUUACAUCAUCAGACAGACAAACAAACCAACUUUUUUAUAUCGUAUACUCAUCAGACAAACAAACAAACCAGCUUUUUACAUAAUAUACUCAUCAGACAGACAGACAAACACAAUUAUUACAUCUUAUACUCACAAGACAGAAACACAAA